This 253-nucleotide ribosomal RNA is filed under the name uncultured bacterium. RNAcentral describes it as "partial 16S ribosomal RNA". It matches the Rfam family "Bacterial small subunit ribosomal RNA", at positions 524 to 776 of the family's 1533-position model. The record is from RNAcentral.
GACGGAGGAGGCAAGCGUUAUCCGGGAUUAUUGGGCGUAAAGGGUACGUAGGCGGCUGGUCAAGUCUGGGGUUAAAGGCCACAGCUCAACUGUGGGAAGGCCCUGGAAACUGACCGGCUAGAGUGAGGUAGGGGUUGCGGGAAUUCCCGGUGUAGCGGUGAAAUGCGUAGAGAUCGGGAAGAACACCUGAGGCGGAAGCGCGCAACUGGGCCUCAACUGACGCUGAGGUACGAAAGCUUGGGGAGCGAAUGGG